Molecule: long non-coding RNA, 3052 nt
Organism: Carassius auratus (goldfish)
Lineage: Eukaryota; Metazoa; Chordata; Actinopteri; Cypriniformes; Cyprinidae
Exons: 2
Source: RefSeq, a predicted model, not a curated record
UUAUGGCAAGUGUCAACGAGACCGGCCUCAGAGAUUCAGAUCAUUUUAGUUGAGCCCUUAAAAUUCAGAUUUAAAAUCACGUAAAAAAUCAACUAGGGAAAAUGUGAAGGAUGACUCUGAAAGUUUGAUUGUUUUGAGGCUAAUCGACCAUGAAGUGACGAAGUAAUUGAUGUUCCCUGUGGCUGUUAAAACAGUCUUUAUGAUCUAGAUUUUAUGUCUGUCAGAUUAAUCCCAUUCUGAUUUUUGUUUUGAAUGAGUGAGACUUUUAAUGUUCUGCAAUGCUUUUUACCAUUUUCAAUCUUAUCACUUAUUAAAAAUAAAUAAAUAAACCAGAAGCCAUAAGAAAACAAAUUUUUCCUCACUAAAGAGAAUAAAUAUUUCCCUUAAUCACACCAUGCCACCCCCUUCCAAAAAAAGAACCUUACUGAAACUCUCUCUCUCUCUCUCUCUCUCUCUCUCUCUCUCUCAACCUUUGUAACCGCAAGGUCCCAAAUUAUGAAUAUUUGAAGGCCCCCUACAGAGGCUGUGGUAUUUCCUACUUUCACUGAAAUCACAGUAGUGCAUAUUUUCAUACUUAUUUUUAAUCAUGAGAAACAAAGGACGCUCAGGUUUUACAUGCAUUACGUUUCCAUAACUCUGUUUUAUUGGCUCUUGCAUGUUUCAAAUUAACGCAAGUGGAUGUUUACUGAAGACUGAGGAAUUACGGCCAUCCCUAUGCAAUGAGAUGAUCUUUUGUUACAUCAUACUUUGGAAAAAUCUGCAAUGGUGCAUUUGGUAAUUCAGAACAGUGAAGUGGAAUAGACUUACAUAACGAAAACACUGCGCACAGCCGUUUGGUCUGAGAUGUAGAAGUAUAACGGUGGAUGAAUGCGGUCACUCCAUCCUCAUUUGGAGGCAGGACAAUGGAGUACGAAGUUGACAAUAUGUUGCAUCUGAUUUGGACUGUACGAUCUUAUAAAAUGGUAAUUGUAUGCUCCCCCCUUUUUUUUAAUCUCCACAUGCACGCUGAUUUAACACCAUUCUUGUUUAUCCAGAUUUUUGUGGUCAAAGAAGUAAGAAAAUAUAAAAAAUCUGACAAGUUCAUAGGGUUUCAAAACCAUAAUAUCGUGGUGGUUGGCCAGGUGGGUGUGUUCUUGUGAAAGCCAAAGAGCACAUGAUGCAUUCUGACAGCUGUGCAUCGAGAGAGAUAGAGAGAGAGAGCAAGACAAUCCGUAUAAAAGGGCGGAGCUCCAGAGAAAACUUCCUCUUCAAGCUGCUUCUUCAUUCGCUGUUCACAGUCUGGCUGGCAGUCAGUCCCCUGCAUUUAAAGACCAACUUUGGCUGCUAGAAAUGCUGUAUUUUCUCCAUGUUGAUAAACUUUGAAGGUCCUGCUGGUUUUUCCAUUCCAGUUGUGUUUGGACUUUGCCCUGGAGCAACUUUAACGGAGUCACUUUUCCUUUUCCUGAACAAACGUGCAAUUUCAGCAAGGUUGGUAGAUGCAUCCCAAACAUGUGUCUACCAUUGCCUUCUCACUCCUUACCAGUUUUCAAGUGGUUAGUGUAGUUUUAGUUCUCUUUAUCUACUUAUCAUGCUUUUAGAGCAGAACAUUUAAAGUUAUUAGUCUAAAACACUGUGUGAAUCGUUCGGGGGGCUGAUGAGUUGGGCUCAUUGUUUUGUGGAUCUGUUCUGAGUAAUGCAGGCUUUGGAUGGUUUCACUGAUGUUUCUUAUUUGGGGCAGAGUAGGUCCAGUUUAAACUAGCACAGUAUGUAUUUUCAGACAACAGAGUACUGUCACACGGUCGUGGUUCCCUGAAAGCAAAGUGAGAUGGACUUACAUUUGUUUAGGAUUGUGCCUAGGGCUAGAACCGUUCCCUUUCUCUUGCAUCAGCCAUAUUUGGUUCAUGGAAAAACAAACUCUUCUAGUGUUUGCUUUUAACCCUUGCUGUUUGAAGCAUGCAAAGGUGAUUUUCAAGGUUUGAAAGUUUUGUCAUUCAUCUAAUGCACAAUUUAAAGUCAGAAUGACAGUAAGUCAUUCGUUGGUGCACUGAUUAUGUUCCCAAUGCAUUCUGGAUGGGUGUUUAAAUGACUCGUGCUCUCUGUUCUACAGGUUCACUCUUGGCGUUACACAACCUUCAGGAUUAUUUUUAAGCUGUGUUGUGCACAAAUACCGCAGUGAUGAUCAUCAGACUCGGCAGACUGACACCUGGAUACUUCCGUCUCCUGCAGAGGCAGGUAGCAGGUGAGGUUCAGGCCCCAACUCACGACCGCUUGGUCAACCAGAUCGCCAUGAUGCUGGCCAUCAUGGGCCUCAGCCUGUCCUACUACAGUGCCAAACAGAUGAUGGAGAAGGUUCACCACGAACCCGCCCCGUGAAGAUGUGCUUGGAUUGACAUCAUCCGGAGGAGACGAAGCCUAACUGAAGAUGUUCAGACUCUGUCACAGUACCUUUCUCUAACCUCCAGGGACCACACACCGCAGGACAUCUGCUUAGGGGUUGCUUUAGUCUAGCUCUCAAUGGGAUCUGGAAGGGUUGACUUGAUGCAUGCAUCAGAGAGUCAGUCAAUAGGUUGCUUUAGGCAGAAAACUCAAGCUCCACCAAUGCAUGAGCAAACCAGGAGCUCAACUCUGAGUCAUAAUGUGUUUUAAGGUGAAGGACCUCUGUAUACGAGAUGUACCAAGCAACUAUUGAAAGCAGGUCCAAUGCACAAAUCCAUUUUUCCCAAAAGAAGAUGCUGUUGAAGAACAUCCAAAGCCUUGAGGGACUUCUAGUGAAGGUGCUGCUAUACACUAUACACUUUAGGAAAUUUACUACACAAACAAAACUUGAUAUUUUGAUUCUAACUUAAGUAAAUAUCUUCUCGUUUGUCCUGAUGAAUUUCUCAACUCUUUUAUAUGUUAAUGCCGACUUUGUGUGCAAUCGCAUGAGUUUGAAGCAGUUUGUUUUAGUGCAACCAAUCCGUAAUGUUGUUUCUAAGGCUUUUUUAUAAUAAUGUGAUUUGAUGCUGUAUGUGUACUGUAUGUUAUAUUUUUAAGACCCCAAGAUCAAAUAAAGCUGUGAAUAUUUUGAACAAGA